AUGAAUCUAUUCACCUUUGUUGGAGUCGAGGCCUUCUUCCAAUUAGUUCUGAACUUCUGGAACCAAUGCAUUGCCACUUGUGCAAAAAAAAUCUGGGAAAUAACUCCUCUUUCAUCAGUUCUGAAAUCGCACAAUUUGGAACUGAGUAACAAUCAUAUUUUUUUUCAUGGCAAGCUGUAUGUGCCAAUUGACCGUGAGCUAAAGGUAAACUAUUCAGACCAGAUGAGAUUUCAAAUUUGUUGCAUUACUCGAAAUGGUUUGGAAAUCUUUCAGUUUCAGACAUGCAAGCAUCGAAACAAGUCGCACAAGCUUGUCAAUCCAUUGCUCCAUGAUCAUAAGAAUUAUUUGGUGACAUCAUCUUUCUAG
This 366-nucleotide ribosomal RNA is filed under the name Triticum aestivum (bread wheat). RNAcentral describes it as "partial small subunit ribosomal RNA". The record is from RNAcentral. Lineage: Eukaryota; Viridiplantae; Streptophyta; Magnoliopsida; Poales; Poaceae.